Molecule: long non-coding RNA, 1162 nt
Organism: Triticum aestivum (bread wheat)
Lineage: Eukaryota; Viridiplantae; Streptophyta; Magnoliopsida; Poales; Poaceae
Exons: 7
Source: RefSeq, a predicted model, not a curated record
CCCCGUACCUCCCCCUCAUGGCUCCUCUCUUUAUCACCGGCGCCAUGGCUGUGCUCGGAGGAGGACCGCCGAUGCCAGGUUGACGAGGAUGAUGAGGUAACUGUUGGCGAGGGCAAAGCGAAGUCGUCAGAUCCGUCACCACCGCUAUUCUCCUACUCACCACCGCCGCUGUUCUCCUACUGGCCGCCUCCGUCGUCCACAUGCUCCUCCUCACGACCAUGAAAGUUGGCUGAGGUCUAGCCUCCCAUCCAUACGCAGAUUAUGCAAGUAUAUGCUUGGUCUGCAUAUUAGUACCGGCUAGCAAGCACAGGAACGACGACUUGGAUCUAAUGACUUGAUAUUCCAAUCCACCGAGAAAUCAGUUUUGACUCAAAAUGAUGCAUGCCUGAACCAUGAGCAUUAUUUGUUUGUCCGCUAAGCAAAUUGUGUCUGGAUGCAGAAAGUGAAAGCAUCAGAUUGAGUGAUUCAGAUCAAUUCUUGCGUUGUAUGCCUGUGAGAGAGCUGGCAGGACGAACAAGGAAUUUUACAAAACGUUAGCACAAAGAAGAUGCUUCUGGCCUACUACAUGAACUCGUUCUUGCCGACUUUAUCCUCUGUUUAUUUGCUCCGCGAGGUUGUUUGUUGGUUCGUGGGACGUCUGUGUCGUUAACCAACAAGGCGUUGUUAUCAUUACUUCCUCUCCCCUCGCUGGCUCGUCAUCUGCUUGCUAUCAAGCUUUGUGCUUCCUGUUUGACCUUUGUCUUCUCAUACUGCUGUAGUACUACCAAGGCACGGUUGAUCUUCUAUGGUCUUCGAAGCAUGACUUUAACUACUGAUACAUACACAACUAGAUGGAUUGGACAUUUAUGAAUGUCAUCAUUGUAUUUAUCUUACAAAAUGCGUGAAUCUAACUAAUUACAAGUGAAAACAUUUCUUGCCAUCGAAACGGAAUGGUAGUUUCCCCUGCAUUGUGAUAAUUAAUUUACAUCUGCAUUAUAGUAAGCUCGAAAUCCGAUAAAGUGUCAUCAGAAAUGAGCAUGGAUUAGUUUAUGAAUAAGAAAGCUUUCUUACUCCAGUGGAGCUUAGUGUCGCAGCAAUAUCUCGGUUUUGCUUCUCCGCAAGAACUCUAACUAUAUGUAAUAGUGCUAUAACUUUCAUCAUCGCAUAAAGUACAUCAAAAGUU